RNAcentral lists this ribosomal RNA (253 nucleotides) under uncultured bacterium. RNAcentral describes it as "partial 16S ribosomal RNA". It matches the Rfam family "Bacterial small subunit ribosomal RNA", at positions 524 to 776 of the family's 1533-position model. The record is from RNAcentral.
UACGAAGGUCCCGAGCGUUAUCCGGAUUCAUUGGGUUUAAAGGGUGCGUAGGUGGGUCGAUAAGUCAGUGGUGAAAGCCUGAUGCUUAACAUCAGAACUGCCAUUGAUACUGUCGAUCUUGAGUUUAGUUGAAGUGGGCGGAAUGUGUCAUGUAGCGGUGAAAUGCUUAGAUAUGACACAGAACACCGAUUGCGAAGGCAGCUCACUAAGCUAACACUGACACUGAGGCACGAAAGCGUGGGGAUCAAACAGG